CAUGGUAUGAGGUUCCGCCACGCCGAGAUUCGCGUUUCUACAGUGCCCGUAAAUCGCCAUGGAUCACUCGGUAGCUAUUUGCUGAAAAGAAUUCAAGACUAAAAUAAAAGCGCAUUCGCAAGUAUUAUGUGACUGCAUCUUCAACAACGAACUCACAGAAUGGUCCAGUGGAUCAAGCACAAUGAGCUCCAUCUCCCAUUGGUAUGCUUUAACUGCAGACUACUACACAGAGAAUGGGUUGUAGAAAGUCUCCAAACCUGGCAUUUGUACUGACUUGGAGAUUGUGAAUACGAGGGAAGGUACCAACUUCACGUUCAGUUCCAAGAUGCAUCAUCACUCCUUAAUCAUUUCUGAAUGAAAAUCCUGGAGCUCCCUAACUGACACCAAAUUGACAACCGCAGUUUAGCACAGCCUUCUUGAGGAAAAUCUGGAAUGGUGCCUUCCCACUGACAGCCAUAUCCCAAUCAUUAAAGAUGUAGGAACUGCCUGCUGGAGAAUCUGAGAUAACAAGGUGUGGAGCUGAAACAGUUUAAGAGUCAGCACUGGCUUUCUCUGAAGAAGGGUCUCAUCAUGAAACGUCGGCUUUCCUGCUCCUCUGAUGCUGCUUGGCCUGCUGUGUUCAUCCAGUUCUAUGCCUGUUUUAAGAGUAAAGCGCGUCUGGACUGGGAGCCUGUGGUCAUUACAGUAUGAUGAGGCCUGGGCAUGGAGGCUGUGAUCACAUGAGCAUGGUAAGUGAAUUGUGAAUGCAGUGAAAUUGAUUAAAUAUAUCUGCCUAUUUAAUUUUCAGCAGCAGGAUGUUUAUGAUGACACUGUUUACAUUUUGAUUGCACUAUGAAACUCCAAGUAAACGCUCUGAUGUAUCCUGCAGCUCAAUGAACAGAUUUCACUAUUAGCUACUCAGGAAGUAGAGCUUUAUACAUGUAAUUUCUAUCUUGUUCCCUCAUCAUUUAGUCACACUGUAGAUUACUGAAGAAUAAGUGGGAGGGCAUGUGAUAUAGAAAAUCUUCUGUUUAGAUUAGAUUAGAUUAGAAAUGUUUAUAAUGGAGGCUCGUGACAAAUGAAACCUGAACUGUGGCUAAACUAAAGACUAAGGGCAGAGACUAGCUAAUUAUUGGAUUAGAUUAGAUUCCCUACAGUGUGGAAACAGGCCCUUUGGCACGAAAGUCCACACCACCGCACCCAUACCCAUCCCCCUAUAACUCGCACACCCCUGAACACUACAGGCAAUUUAGCAUGGCUGAUCCACCUAGCCUGCACAUCUUUGGACUGUGGGAGGAAACUGGAGCACCCGGAGGAAACCCACGCAGACAUGGGGAGAAUGUGCAAACUCUGCACAGACAGUUAUCUGAGGCUGGAAGCGAAUCUGGGUCCCUGGCACUGUAAGGCUGCAGUGCUAACCACUGAGCGACCGUGCUGACCCUUUAUCUCUUUUUAUAUGUGGUGCUAUUACAUUAAAUGGCCACUAGAAAGGCAGGAUCAAAUGUGCAGACUAACGAAAGGUGGGGGUUCCAAUGAUAGAAGAUGGGAGGUGCUUAAGUAUUUUUUUUAAAAGAUCUCUUCCCCCCCCAGUUACUGACCUGUCUGUUCUAUUUUACAGAUGCUGACUGUGGCUCUGUGUUGUAUCUCUCUGCGUUCCGAUUUAUCAGUAUUCAUUGCUGUUAACAACUUCUAAUAUAACUCAGUAAAUCAUAUCUAUUAAUCAAUGGUUAUAAUAGUAACUGCAGAUUUCCAUGUACCAGCCUACCUUCCUUCUCCAUUCAAACUAAUUCAGGGGCUUGCUUCUAGAUUAGAUUAGAUUCCCUACAGUGUGGAAACAGGCCCUUCAGCCCAACAGGUCCCUUUGGAGCAUGGAGCAUCCCACCCAGACCUGUCCCCCUCCCCCCCAUAAACCCUCCUAAUCUACACAUCCCUGAACACUGGGCAAUUUAGCAUGGCCAAUCUACCUAGCCUGCACAUCUUUGGACUGUGGGAGGAAACCAGGGCACCUGGAGGAAACCCACGCAGGCAUGGGGAGAAUGUGCAAACUCUACACAGACAGUUGCCCGUGGCUGGAAUUGAACCCGGAUCCCUGUUGAUGUGAGGGUGCAGUGCUAACCACUAAGCCACUGUGCUGCCCGGUUGUAUCAGGUUACAGCCACUUCAAUUUGCAUUACACCCCACUUGAAAGUGCAGUCAUUCGUAAAUUGCUAUGUAAACAACCCUGUUUAACAAGACCCACAUUCCAUUCAAAGGUGCAGUCAAAUGCAACAACUAACAGAACUGAGCAGAUACUACAGGUGGCCAUGGAUACUCGCGUGGGCCCAAGCUAUGCCUGCCACUUUAUAGGUUACGUGGAACAGUCCCUCUUCCGUACCUACACAGGCCCCAAACCCCACCUCUUCCUCCGUUACAUUGAUGACUGUAUCGGCGCUGCCUCUUGCUCCCCAAAGGAGCUCGAACAGUUCAUCCACUUCACCAACACCUUCCACCCCAACCUCAAGCUCACCUAGGCCAUCUCCAAUACAUCCCUCACCUUCCUGCACCUCUCAGUCUCCAUCUCAGGUAACCAGCUCGAAACUGAUGUCCAUUUCAAGCCCACUGACUCCCACAGCUACCUAGAAUACACCUCCUCCCACCCACCCUCCUGCAAAAAUUCAAUCCCCUAUUCCCAAUUCCUCCACCUCCGCCGCAUCUGCUCCCAGGAUGAGGCAUUCCACUCCCGCACAUCCCAGAUGCCCACGUUCUUCAAGGACCGCAAAUUUCCCCCUGCAGUGGUCGAGAACACCCUUGACGGCGUCUCCCGCAUUUCCUGCAACACAUCCCUCACACCCCGCCCCCGUCACAACCGCCCCCAGAGGAUCCCCCUCGUUCUCACAUACCACCCCACCAAUCUCCGGAUACAACGCAUCAUCCUCCAACACUUCCGCCAUCUACAAUCCGACCCCACCACCCAAGCUAUUUUUCCAUCCCCACCCUUGUCUGCCUUCCGGAGAGACCACUCUCUCCGCAACUCCCUUGUCCGCUCCACACUCGCCUCCAACCCCACCACACCUGGCACCUUCCCCUGCAACCGCAAGAAGUGCUACACUUUCCCCCACACCACCUCCCUCACCCCCAUCCCAGGCCCCAAGAUGACCUUCCAUGUCAAGCAGAUGUUCACCUGCACGUCUGCCAAUGUGGUAUAUUGUAUCCAUUGUACCCAGUGUGGCUACCUCUACAUUGGGGAAACCAAGCGGAGGCUUGGGGACCGCUUUGCAGAACACCUCCGCUCGGUUCGCAACAAAACAACUGCACCUCCCAGUCGCGAACCAUUUUAACUCCCCCUCCCAUUCCUCAGACGACAUGUCCAUAAUGGGCCUCCUGCAGUGCCACAAUGAUGCCACCAGAAGGUUGCAAGAACAGCAACUCAUAUUCCGCUUGGGAACCCUGCAGCCCAAUGGUAUCAAUGUGGACUUCACAAGCUUCAAAAUCUCCCCUUCCAUCACUGCAUCCCAAAACCAGCCCAGCUCAUCCCCUCCCCCCACUGCAUCCCAAAACCAGCCCAGCCUGUCUCCGCUUCCCUAAUCUGUUCUUCCUCUCACCCAUCCCUUCCUCCCACCUCAAGCCGCACCUCCAUUUCCUACCUACCACAUCAUCCCGCCUCCUCGACCUGUCCGUCUUCCCUGGACUGACCUCUCCCCUCCCUACCUCCUCACCUAUACUCUCCUCUCUACCUAUCCUCUUUUCUCUCCAUCUUCGGUCCGCCUCCCCCUCUCUCCCUAUUUAUUCCAGUUUCCUCUCCCCAUCCCCCCUCUGAUGAAGGGUCUAAGCCCAAAACGUCAGCUUUUGUGCUCCUGAGAUGCUGCUUGGCCUGCUGUGUUCAUCCAGCUCCACACUUUGUUAUCUUACUACAGGAUGAAGCUGUUUUGCACCCCCACACCAAAAAUAGCGUUGUUUGAUGUUAACAUCCAACUGUGAAUAGGUGCUAAGUAGGUGCUGUUUAUCUUCUCUCUCCAGCUAGAAUAGCUCCAAGUAUCAAAGGAGAUAAUUGGAUUAGAGAUAGUAGGAACUGCAGAUGCUGGAGAAUCUAAGACAAGGUGUAGAGCUAGAUCAACACAGCAAGCCAAGCAGCAUCAGAGGAGCAGGAAAGCUGACGUUUCGGGCCUAGACCUUAGAUUUCUGAAGAAGGGUUUAGGCCAAAAGAUCAGCUUUCCUGCUCCACUCGACACUGCUUGGUCUGCUGUGUUCAUUUGGCUCUGCAUCUUGCUGUCUCUGAUAAUUGAAUUAGCCCUUUUCCUUUCAAGUAAAAUGUUACUUCCCUGCAGCCUUUUCCUGUGUAUUAUGUAACCAGGUACUUGUCCCAAGUUUUUAUUCAACAUGUAUAUAAAACCUCACCCCACUAAUAAAACUAACAUACGCUAUGCAGUGUGAGAGCAACCUUUAACCUACUAACAAAACUCACAGCGGUAUGUCCAGAUCCGCACAACCUUGAAUGAAUGAAAUGGACAGCACAUACGACAGGUGUGACCACGAAACCGAAUUAAUGAAGGAAUGAUAGUAAAAAGAACCUAUAGAUGGACGCAACCAAGAAACUAACUAAACAAGCGAUAGUAAAUAAAAACCACAGUCAAAACUGUUGGGAAUUUAGACUUUUUUAAAAAACACAAGUUGCCUUUUUCUAACUUUAAAAUUCUAACCUUGAAAAUAGCAAGACGUACACCUUUUGAAUUAUGCAAGGACAAACUAGACAAACACUCUAAUCUUGUUAAAAUAACCAUUAACCUCAACAACAACCACUAACAUUUAGCACAUUUGAACCAUCUCCGAUUUCCUGCAAAACAGCUUUUGUACAGUAUCUACUGCCUUAACACUCAAGUGUUACAAUGUUAACAUAUGCUUGAAAUCUAUAUAAAAACGGCUGCUUUUAAGCAAUGUUUUUGGGAUUCCAUUUCGCUUUGCAUUGUGUUGCAAUGAACGUACAAUAAAGAGGCUAUUUUCACCA
Long non-coding RNA from Stegostoma tigrinum, 4960 nucleotides. RefSeq lists it as uncharacterized. NCBI's taxonomy places the organism in Eukaryota, Metazoa, Chordata, Chondrichthyes, Orectolobiformes, Stegostomatidae. The record is from RefSeq and is a predicted model, not a curated record. The transcript has 5 exons.